RNAcentral lists this ribosomal RNA (468 nucleotides) under uncultured bacterium. Its description in RNAcentral is "partial 16S ribosomal RNA". It matches the Rfam family "Bacterial small subunit ribosomal RNA", at positions 28 to 507 of the family's 1533-position model. The record is from RNAcentral.
GACGAACGCUGGCGGCGGGCUUAACACAUGCCAGUCGAACGGCAAGGCCCUGCUUUUGUGGGGUGCCCGAGUGGCGAACGGGUGAGUAACACGUGAGUAACCUGACCUAGACUUUGGGAUGGCUUCAGGAAACUAGGGCUAAUACCGGAUAGGAGCUGCUGCUGCAUGGAGGGGAUUGGAAAGUUUCGGCGGUCGGGGAUGGACUCGCGGCUUAUCAGCUUGUUGGUGGGGUAGUGGCUUACCAAGGCUUUGACGGGUAGCCGGCCUGGGAGGGUGGCCGGCCACAUUGGGACUGCGGUACGGCCCAGACUCCUACGGGAGGCAGCGGUGGGGAAUAUUGCACAAUGGGCGGAAGCCUGAUGCAGCAACGCCGCGUGCGGGAUGACGGCCUUCGGGUUGUAAACCGCUUUCGCCUGUGACGAAGCGUGAGUGACGGUAAUGGGUAAAGAAGCACCGGCUAACUACGUG